UUCCCCAAAAAAGAAAAAAACACGGAGAACAGCCCUAAUAAAACCCAAGGGCAAAAACAUCAAAGACCCAGAAUUACAAAAGCUAAAAAUCUAAGAUCUUUGGAGCAACAAAACAAGAAAAAGUGAGAGGAGAAUAAUUACAAGACCGUGCCGUUCACCGGCUUGGAAAGAAAGCUUCUGUUGGUUCAUGGCGUGAGUAUAGAGCUGCGAUAAUGAAUUAGCGGCACUGCAAAAUGAUGUAUACAUGGUUCGAUCCACCUCGUCGAGGCUGGUCGCUAUCGACUUUCUCUUCUUCGCCAUCUGAGGUUAAAAACCCUUCCUUUUUGUGAUUUGGACGGUGACCUAGCCGAGAUUUUUCGGCUAUUUGGAGAUUCUGGUUUUCUGUGUUUCUGAAACACAAGUGGGGGAGAAAGAAGGGAGAAGGAAGAGAGAAAGA
Molecule: long non-coding RNA, 436 nt
Filed under: Arachis ipaensis
Lineage: Eukaryota; Viridiplantae; Streptophyta; Magnoliopsida; Fabales; Fabaceae
Description: long non-coding RNA (AIPA_LNC002350)
Source: RNAcentral